Molecule: non-coding RNA, 1552 nt
Organism: Ictidomys tridecemlineatus (thirteen-lined ground squirrel)
Lineage: Eukaryota; Metazoa; Chordata; Mammalia; Rodentia; Sciuridae
Source: RefSeq, a predicted model, not a curated record
AAAAAAAAAAAAGGUUAACAUCAUUGGAUAUCAGAGAAAUUCAAAUAGAACCACAAUGAACAACAUUAUACAUUCACUAGAAUGGCUCAGCUUUAAAAACUGGCCAGGCACAUUGGCUCAUGCCUGUAAUCCUAGAGGCUUGAGAGGCUGAGGCAGGCAGAUCACAAGUUCAAAGCCAGCCUCAGCAAAAAAAAAAGAGGCUUCAGCCUCCUGCAUCUAUGGGAUUACAGGCAUGCACCACUGUACCCCGCUCCACUGAUUAUUUAACCCAUAGCUUUUAAAAAUCUGCUUCUUCACUUCUAAACCCUUGGAUUUUUUUUUCUAGGUUUCUGUUUGUAAUUGACUUCAGUUUUAAUUUUAUGGUGGUCAGAGAAAGUGGUCUAUAUAGAAUACCAGUCCUUAGAAGUUUGUUGAGAUCUGAAUUUAGUUUAAUCUUUGAAAUGUUCCAUGUUUUUCCAGGAAAAACAUAUAUUCUGAAAUAAUUGGGUACAGUGGUAUCUAUCCCUUUAAAAAGUUAAAUAUAUAUGAAAAAUCUUCUAAACUGUUUACCAAAGAGUUAUCAUUUUACAUCCCCAUCAGCAUUGGAUGACAAUACUAGUUGUUCCACAUCCCUUAUCAACACUUGGGAUGGUCAGUUUAAAUUUUUUUUUUUGGUAGCAGGGAUUGAACUCAGGGGCACUCGACCACAUGAGUUCACAAACAGGUCCACAGUGGCAACGUUCUCACUCUUUGGUCAUUGAUGGGAUCAGUGAAGUUGCUGCUGGGGCCUUACAGUAUCGGCAGAGCCUCCAUUUAGUGAGCACAUACUCAGAGCAGAGGCACUUUACAUGGAUUCUCUCAGGCCUCACAACACCAUGAAGAGGUGGGGAAUAUAAUUCCCAUUUCCCAGCUAGGGAACCGGAGGCUCAGAGACAUGAAGCCAUUGCUUAAGGCUGCACUAACGCUCAAGACAGGGUGACCAGCUCCAGACUUGUGCUUUGUUGUCUAUGUGGGAGUCAAACUGAAUUGGAGGCCAUAAUUCUGCCUCAUUUUCCCCAGCAUUCCUAUUCCUGGGCUCUCUGAGAGGGUCUCAGCUGUCAGCAUGAUGGUUCUGAGGCCCAGGACCUGCAGCUACCUCUGUAACCAGUUCCUUCCUCCUUGCGACAUGCCAAGUGUAAAAUGUCUUUAAGAAGUACAAAAAUGAUAGAAGGUGUGAAAGAACUCUGAGAAACAUAGAAGAAACACCAAUGAAAGAUUGGAGAUGAAAGACUGCAACGUGGAAGCCAAGCCGUACAUUAAGAAAGAUGGACAGACAGCGUUGGAAAAAGAACAGCAACUCCUGGGUACAAGAUGACUGUUCCCUAGAAAUGCUGGUUGGGUAAUCAGUAGUCUGAUUAAUGUGGAAGAUCACAGCCCAGUAAAAAUGUGUUAUGGCUGAGUGUCUUGCAGUGCAAGCUGGUGCGAAUUAAGUGCUAAACACAUAAAAUAAAUAUAUGAAACUAGUUGUAUCUGCUGUAACUCACACCACUGCAGGAGCUUUUAAAAGUUGCUAAUAAAAUAAUAAUACAUUUUA